RNAcentral lists this ribosomal RNA (1972 nucleotides) under Oncotylus setulosus. Its description in RNAcentral is "partial large subunit ribosomal RNA". It matches the Rfam family "Eukaryotic large subunit ribosomal RNA", at positions 78 to 1703 of the family's 3401-position model. Lineage: Eukaryota; Metazoa; Arthropoda; Insecta; Hemiptera; Miridae. The record is from RNAcentral.
CCCUAGUAGCUGCGAGCGAACAGGGAAAAGCCCAGCACUGAAUCCCGGGGGCCUCGCUCCCAGGGAAAUGUAGUGUUUGGGAGGGUCCAUAUACCCGAUACCGCCGCACCGCGUCCAAGUCCAUCUUGAAAGAGGCCACGGUCCCGAGAGGGUGCCAGGCCCGUGGUAGGCCGGUGCAGGUGUUGGGUGGACCUCUCCUCAGAGUCAGGUUGCUUGAGAGUGCAGCCCUAAGCGGGUGGUAAACUCCAUCUAAGGCUAAAUACAACCACGAGACCGAUAGCGAACAAGUACCGUGAGGGAAAGUUGAAAAGAACUUUGAAGAGAGAGUUCAAGAGUACGUGAAACCGCUCAGGGGUAAACGGAAAAGACCCGAAAUUUCCGAAGAGGGAGAUUCACGUCUUCUCGCGGGUUCGACGCAUCCGCUCCUCUCCGACGGCCCUGCCCCCGUCCGGACUCGUCCGGCGCGUGGCGGUGGGGUCGCAGAGGGCGGUGUGGAGGCCUGCGGCGGACCGCACUUCUCCCUUAGUAGGACGUCGUGACCCGUCCGGUCAUGGUCUUACGGUUGCAGGGUGGAGCCUGUCCGAUCGUGCUCGCGCACGUCUUCGGGCAGACCCCCGCAUCCCGGCCAUGAAGAUUCCCGGUCGGUAUCGAAUGACGGUGUUCGGCCACUCACCGGCGGAGGAAACUCCUGCUUGUGAGCGCGAUUGUGCCUCGACAAGGUGCCGGGAUGUUUCAGUCAAGGCGGGCUUCCGUCCGUCUGGCUGCUCUCGGCCCUGUUGGUCGGUGGACCUCUCUCGCUGGCCUAUUUGUACACUUGUCUACGGCGAAUCGUCAUUGGGUGGUAAAACCCAAAGGCGUAAUGAAAGUGAAGGGGACUUUACGUUUCUGAGGGAGGAUGGGUCGGUCACCCGCAAGGGGCCACCCCGCACUCCCGGGGCGUCUCUUUCUCAUUGCGAGUGGAGGCGCACCCAGAGCGUACACGCUGAUACCCGAAAGAUGGUGAACUAUGCCUGGCCAGGACGAAGCCAGGGGAAACCCUGGUGGAGGUCCGCAGCGAUUCUGACGUGCAAAUCGAUCGUCGGAGCUGGGUAUAGGGGCGAAAGACCAAUCGAACCAUCUAGUAGCUGGUUCCCUCCGAAGUUUCCCUCAGGAUAGCUUGCGCUCACGUGAACGAGUCUCAUCCGGUAGAGCGAAUGAUUAGAGGCCUUGGGGUCGAAACGACCUCAACCUAUUCUCAAACUCCAAAUAGAUGAGAACUCCGGCUUUCUUGAACACACGUUUUUGAAGCCGGGGGCUCGGAUCAGAGUGCCAAGUGGGCCAAUUUUGGUAAGCAGAACUGGCGCUGUGGGAUGAACCAAACGUCGAGUUAAGGCGCCUAAAUCGACGCUCAUGUGAAACCAUGAAAGGCGUUGGUUGCUUAAGACAGCAGGACGGUGGCCAUGGAAGUCGGAAUCCGCUAAGGAGUGUGUAACAACUCACCUGCCGAAGCAACUAGCCCUGAAAAUGGAUGGCGCUGUAGCGUCGUGCCUAUACUCGACCGUCAACGGCAAAGAUGGCUGGCGGGCAACCGUCGGCCGUUAAGCCUUGACGAGUAGGAGGGCCGCGSCGGUGUGCGUAGAAGGGUCUGGGCGCGAGCCUGCCUGGAGCCGCCGUCGGUGCAGAUCUUGGUGGUAGUAGCAAAUACUCCAGCGAGGCCCUGGAGGACUGAUGUGGAGAAGGGUUUCUUGUGAACAGCUGUUGCACAAGAGUCAGUCGGUCCUAAGCCCUAGGAGAAAUCCGAAGCGAUGGGUUGCCGUGAACGAACGCACGKUUUUUUUUGCUGGCACCCGUUUGGGCGAAAGGGAAUCCGGUUCCUAUUCCGGAACCUGGCAGUGGAACCGUUCCAAKUCGGGCCCUCUGAGGACUCGUCAGGGCAACCUGAAUAGACCCGGAGACGCCGACAGGAGGUUUGGGGGAGAGUUGUCUCUUCUCU